RNAcentral lists this long non-coding RNA (7161 nucleotides) under Gossypium barbadense (sea-island cotton). Its description in RNAcentral is "long non-coding RNA (GBAR_LNC016476)". Lineage: Eukaryota; Viridiplantae; Streptophyta; Magnoliopsida; Malvales; Malvaceae. The record is from RNAcentral.
UGGAGCAAGCGACUCUUACAGUGCCGACAAGAAGAUGCAGGUCACUGUUGCUUUGAACCACUUCGGUAAAGGAUUGGUAGAGAGGAUGCCUAGGUGCCGAUUUGGUUUUAUUCAUGUCGUCAACAAUGACUACAAUCACUGGUUCCUGUAUGCCAUUGGCGGCACCAGCAACCCUACAAUUAUCAGCCAGGGAAAUAGGUAUUCAGCGCCAGGCUUUGGGGCUAAAGAGGUGACCUGUAGGGGCCUCUUAAAGCCGGGACAGUGGAAGAAUUGGAAUUGGGUAUCACAAGGUGACCACUUCGAGAACGGUGCCUUCUUUACACCAUCAGGUAAUCCAAGUGCCAGCAAGCAAUUUGGCGCCGACAAAAUGAUGCCUUUCAAACCUGGUCAAAUGGUCCCCGAGCUCACAAAGUAUGCCGGACCACUAAGCUGCACAAUCGGCCGUCCUUGCUAAAAAUGCUAUUUUUAUAUGCAUUUGUCCUCCCUUUUUUACGUACAAUAUUUGAUACCCAAGCAUAGUACAUUUGGUAUCUUUUCUGAAUGAUUGUCAGUAAAUUUUCUUUUAUGCGAUCCCACCCUAUUCUCUUCUUCUCUCCUAGUAAUAGAUAAUCACAAUUUUUUUCUCACGCGUGACUGUGGAAAUCAUAAAUUUAGAACAUAAAUGUUUGUUUGAAAAUAACAUAUAAUGAAUAAUGAAAUGUGUGGUUUGAAAUAAAGUAACAAUAAUAACAUUGAUUAUCAUGGUGUUUUCAUCAAUCUUUAGUUGGUGUAGGCACCAAAUCAAUCAAAUACAUUAAUCUAACAUAUCUAGUAUAUAUAUUCUAUUGCAAGGUUUUUUUGGAUUUGUGGAAACCUUCAGUUUGAAGUGAGUUUAGAAUUCGCUAUGCGUCACCAAUCAUUUCAUGACAGCAAUGGAAAUUAAUGAAAUAAAAUAUUUGGUUAGAACUAAAGUUGCGUAAUUAAUUAAAAAUUUUAACAAUCGCGAGACCAUUUAGUUUCUAUAAAUUUUGCAUGUCCCAACUUACAUAUUCGGGUAAUUAGUCAUUUGUCAAAACACAUCAAAGUGAGAAAAGAAAGAAACAAGAAUCAUGGUCAUUCCUCAUAUAGUUAUAUUCGUAAUAAUGCAAUCGCAACGGUGAUUCCACCAGGUGUUCUUGCAUCACCAAGAACUAAAUUGAUUUUCUAGAACAAGAUUUAUAAUGGAGACAUCAAGUAUGUAUUUAAGGUGGUGUAUGAGUUAGAUUUCUUUAAGACUCAGCGGGGGUCGGGGAGCCGCCCAAGACAUUGCUUUUACCAGUAUAAAGUCAAAUACCGAAGCAAAAAAACUUGCAAAGCCGAGAGGACAUAGGAUUAAUAAUUCAGCACCUAUGUUUUGAGUUGCUCCAUAGUUGACGCGUGGUAUCAGCUUAGUAAGGGCUUAAAUAAUCGUAUAGAUAUUUAUAAUUGAUGGACAUAAUAAAGUAUGCUUAACAAAUUUGAAAAUCAAAAAAGAAAAUCAAUGUCUUGGUACAGUGUUAAAUUUAUGGUUUUACUAGCAUAAUAAUUGAUUUGGGUUCAAAUCCCUUCGACAACAUAUUUUAUAUUCUUUUAAAACAAUAAGAAUUAAAAUAACCUUCAAUAAUAUAACUUAUUUUAAACAUGACAGGAAUGUAUUUCUAAUUUCCGUAAUAGAGUCGAUGCUCGAUCGACUCAUGUCACCGAAUUAGUUAAGGACUUCAAUAAAUGUUAGUAUAGAUUGUAACAAUAAUGAAAUAUGCAUUAAAAAUCACCACAGAGGUUCAAUAUACACUCGAAUCUCUGUACUCUUUUAGACUUUUAAAAUUUGAAUACAUAGUGCUUUUAUAUUCAAAGGUCCAAGUAAUAAAUUAGAGUCCAAUUCAUAUCACAUAUUCAGAUUUGAGAGAAAUAAAUAAACUCUCUUACCAAUUGAACUUUUAUUUUUUAAAUCAACCAAGUGCAAGGAUUAAAAUCUUGAAAUUGAAAGGAGAGAGGUUUCAUCUGGAAAUGUUGAAGAGUAAAGGGAUUGGAGGAUAAUUAGAGAUUUUUUUUGUAAUUUCUGAAAUUAGACGUUUAGAAUGGUCUAAAAAAUGCAAGAAAACCUCAACUGUUUCUAUCCAAAAAAAAGGAAACAAAAUCCAACCAUUUUUUACGCACUUGAAACACUAGUAGCCAAGUGUGUUUUGUAAAUUUGGAAAUUUUCAUGAAUCCCGGUGUACUAUAAAUAGUGACAUAAUGAUGGUGUUCCAAGCAAAUCAUGCUCGAGUUCAAGUUUUUGGUGCCGUAGCUUGUCUCUCCUGUCCUAUUAGGGUCCUGUUUGCAUCCAACCAGUUGUUUCCAAGAGCUAGGCUUUGAUACUUAAAAUAAGAACCACUAUGGGUAUUUCUAGUUAUAGUUUCUUUCUGUUUUUAUUUGUUGUCAUAAUCCCAACCCUAGAAGCUCAUAUCGCUGAGUAUGACGAGUACUGGACGGCACGAGAAUUGGAAGCCAUUGAGAACCUGGACAAGGCCUAUCACUCCAACCCGGAGGAGGUGGUCCGCCAUUACAAUGACCACUUCUCUAGGACCAUGCUCGAGUUUUAUAUCACCAAAAGGGUGUUGGCAGAAUCAAAAAAGGGUCCCUGUGAGGUUACCAACCACGUUGACAGUUGCUGGCGAUGUGAUCCUGACUGGGAAAAGAAUAGGAAGAAGUUGGCCAACUGUGCCCCUGGAUUUGCUCGAGGUACUACCGGUGGAAAGGAUGGUGAGUUUUACGUGGUCACUGACCCUAUUGAUAAUGCUGCUGACCCCAAGCCUGGAACUCUGCGUCAUGCUGUCACCCAAACUGGACCACUUUGGAUCACUUUCAAAGGGUCCAUGACCAUCAAGCUGCAACAGGAGCUCAUUGUUACAAGUGAUAAGACCAUUGAUGCGAGGGGAGCCAAUGUGGAAAUUUGUAAUGGUGCUGGUAUCACUAUCCAAUUUGUGAAGAAUAUCAUUAUCCAUGGCCUUCAAAUCCAUCACAUUAUUCCCGCCAAGGGUGGCAAGAUCAAGGAUGGUGAAAACCACCAUGGGUUACGGGGUGACAGCGACGGAGACGGGGUGUCUAUUUUUGGAUCAACCAAUGUUUGGCUUGACCAUCUUGCCCUUCACCAUUGCGCCGAUGGCCUUAUCGAUGUCGUUCAAGGAUCAACUGCCGUUACCGUUUCUAACUGCCACUUCACUGACCAUAACGAUGUAAGCUUACUUUCCUUUCAAUUUUAAACUACGCACGAUGAGGAAUUUUUUGAUUGACAAAAAUAAUACAAUUGAAAUGAAAAAAAUUACAGGUGAUGUUGUUUGGAGCAAGCGACUCUUACAGUGCCGACAAGAAGAUGCAGGUCACUGUUGCUUUGAACCACUUCGGUAAAGGAUUGGUAGAGAGGAUGCCUAGGUGCCGAUUUGGUUUUAUUCAUGUCGUCAACAAUGACUACAAUCACUGGUUCCUGUAUGCCAUUGGCGGCACCAGCAACCCUACAAUUAUCAGCCAGGGAAAUAGGUAUUCAGCGCCAGGCUUUGGGGCUAAAGAGGUGACCUGUAGGGGCCUCUUAAAGCCGGGACAGUGGAAGAAUUGGAAUUGGGUAUCACAAGGUGACCACUUCGAGAACGGUGCCUUCUUUACACCAUCAGGUAAUCCAAGUGCCAGCAAGCAAUUUGGCGCCGACAAAAUGAUGCCUUUCAAACCUGGUCAAAUGGUCCCCGAGCUCACAAAGUAUGCCGGACCACUAAGCUGCACAAUCGGCCGUCCUUGCUAAAAAUGCUAUUUUUAUAUGCAUUUGUCCUCCCUUUUUUACGUACAAUAUUUGAUACCCAAGCAUAGUACAUUUGGUAUCUUUUCUGAAUGAUUGUCAGUAAAUUUUCUUUUAUGCGAUCCCACCCUAUUCUCUUCUUCUCUCCUAGUAAUAGAUAAUCACAAUUUUUUUCUCACGCGUGACUGUGGAAAUCAUAAAUUUAGAACAUAAAUGUUUGUUUGAAAAUAACAUAUAAUGAAUAAUGAAAUGUGUGGUUUGAAAUAAAGUAACAAUAAUAACAUUGAUUAUCAUGGUGUUUUCAUCAAUCUUUAGUUGGUGUAGGCACCAAAUCAAUCAAAUACAUUAAUCUAACAUAUCUAGUAUAUAUUCUAUUGCAAGGUUAUUUUGGAUUUGUGGAAACCUUCAGUUUGAAGUGAGUUUAGAAUUCGCUAUGCGUCACCAAUCAUUUCAUGACAGCAAUGGAAAUUAAUGAAAUAAAAUAUUUGGUUAGAACUAAAGUUGCGUAAUUAAUUAAAAAUUUUAACAAUCGCGAGACCAUUUAGUUUCUAUAAAUUUUGCAUGUCCCAACUUACAUAUUCGGGUAAUUAGUCAUUUGUCAAAACACAUCAAAGUGAGAAAAGAAAGAAACAAGAAUCAUGGUCAUUCCUCUAUAGUUAUAUUCGUAAUAAUGCAAUCGCAACGGUGAUUCCACCAGGUGUUCUUGCAUCACCAAGAACUAAAUUGAUUUUCUAGAACAAGAUUUAUAAUGGAGACAUCAAGUAUGUAUUUAAGGUGGUGUAUGAGUUAGAUUUCUUUAAGACUCAGCGGGGGUCGGGGAGCCGCCCAAGACAUUGCUUUUACCAGUAUAAAGUCAAAUACCGAAGCAAAAAAACUUGCAAAGCCGAGAGGACAUAGGAUUAAUAAUUCAGCACCUAUGUUUUGAGUUGCUCCAUAGUUGACGCGUGGUAUCAGCUUAGUAAGGGCUUAAAUAAUCGUAUAGAUAUUUAUAAUUGAUGGACAUAAUAAAGUAUGCUUAACAAAUUUGAAAAUCAAAAAAGAAAAUCAAUGUCUUGGUACAGUGUUAAAUUUAUGGUUUUACUAGCAUAAUAAUUGAUUUGGGUUCAAAUCCCUUCGACAACAUAUUUUAUAUUCUUUUAAAACAAUAAGAAUUAAAAUAACCUUCAAUAAUAUAACUUAUUUUAAACAUGACAGGAAUGUAUUUCUAAUUUCCGUAAUAGAGUCGAUGCUCGAUCGACUCAUGUCACCGAAUUAGUUAAGGACUUCAAUAAAUGUUAGUAUAGAUUGUAACAAUAAUGAAAUAUGCAUUAAAAAUCACCACAGAGGUUCAAUAUACACUCGAAUCUCUGUACUCUUUUAGACUUUUAAAAUUUGAAUACAUAGUGCUUUUAUAUUCAAAGGUCCAAGUAAUAAAUUAGAGUCCAAUUCAUAUCACAUAUUCAGAUUUGAGAGAAAUAAAUAAACUCUCUUACCAAUUGAACUUUUAUUUUUUAAAUCAACCAAGUGCAAGGAUUAAAAUCUUGAAAUUGAAAGGAGAGAGGUUUCAUCUGGAAAUGUUGAAGAGUAAAGGGAUUGGAGGAUAAUUAGAGAUUUUUUUUUGUAAUUUCUGAAAUUAGACGUUUAGAAUGGUCUAAAAAAUACAAGAAAACCUCAACUGUUUCUAUCCAAAAAAAAGGAAACAAAAUCCAACCAUUUUUUACGCACUUGAAACACUAGUAGCCAAGUGUGUUUUGUAAAUUUGGAAAUUUUCAUGAAUCCCGGUGUACUAUAAAUAGUGACAUAAUGAUGGUGUUCCAAGCAAAUCAUGCUCGAGUUCAAGUUUUUGGUGCCGUAGCUUGUCUCUCCUGUCCUAUUAGGGUCCUGUUUGCAUCCAACCAGUUGUUUCCAAGAGCUAGGCUUUGAUACUUAAAAUAAGAACCACUAUGGGUAUUUCUAGUUAUAGUUUCUUUCUGUUUUUAUUUGUUGUCAUAAUCCCAAACCUAGAAGCUCAUAUCGCUGAGUAUGACGAGUACUGGACGGCACGAGAAUUGGAAGCCAUUGAGAACCUGGACAAGGCCUAUCACUCCAACCCGGAGGAGGUGGUCCGCCAUUACAAUGACCACUUCUCUAGGACCAUGCUCGAGUUUUAUAUCACCAAAAGGGUGUUGGCAGAAUCAAAAAAGGGUCCCUGUGAGGUUACCAACCACGUUGACAGUUGCUGGCGAUGUGAUCCUGACUGGGAAAAGAAUAGGAAGAAGUUGGCCAACUGUGCCCCUGGAUUUGCUCGAGGUACUACCGGUGGAAAGGAUGGUGAGUUUUACGUGGUCACUGACCCUAUUGAUAAUGCUGCUGACCCCAAGCCUGGAACUCUGCGUCAUGCUGUCACCCAAACUGGACCACUUUGGAUCACUUUCAAAGGGUCCAUGACCAUCAAGCUGCAACAGGAGCUCAUUGUUACAAGUGAUAAGACCAUUGAUGCGAGGGGAGCCAAUGUGGAAAUUUGUAAUGGUGCUGGUAUCACUAUCCAAUUUGUGAAGAAUAUCAUUAUCCAUGGCCUUCAAAUCCAUCACAUUAUUCCCGCCAAGGGUGGCAAGAUCAAGGAUGGUGAAAACCACCAUGGGUUACGGGGUGACAGCGACGGAGACGGGGUGUCUAUUUUUGGAUCAACCAAUGUUUGGCUUGACCAUCUUGCCCUUCACCAUUGCGCCGAUGGCCUUAUCGAUGUCGUUCAAGGAUCAACUGCCGUUACCGUUUCUAACUGCCACUUCACUGACCAUAACGAUGUAAGCUUACUUUCCUUUCAAUUUUAAACUACGCACGAUGAGGAAUUUUUUGAUUGACAAAAAUAAUACAAUUGAAAUGAAAAAAAUUACAGGUGAUGUUGUUUGGAGCAAGCGACUCUUACAGUGCCGACAAGAAGAUGCAGGUCACUGUUGCUUUGAACCACUUCGGUAAAGGAUUGGUAGAGAGGAUGCCUAGGUGUCCGAUUUGGUUUUAUUCAUGUCGUCAACAAUGACUACAAUCACUGGUUCCUGUAUGCCAUUGGCGGCACCAGCAACCCUACAAUUAUCAGCCAGGGAAAUAGGUAUUCAGCGCCAGGCUUUGGGGCUAAAGAGGUGACCUGUAGGGGCCUCUUAAAGCCGGGACAGUGGAAGAAUUGGAAUUGGGUAUCACAAGGUGACCACUUCGAGAACGGUGCCUUCUUUACACCAUCAGGUAAUCCAAGUGCCAGCAAGCAAUUUGGCGCCGACAAAAUGAUGCCUUUCAAACCUGGUCAAAUGGUCCCCGAGCUCACAAAGUAUGCCGGACCACUAAGCUGCACAAUCGGCCGUCCUUGCUAAAAAUGCUAUUUUUAUAUGCAUUUGUCCUCCCUUUUUUACGUACAAUAUUUGAUACCCAAGCAUAGUACAUUUGGUAUC